GACGAACGCUGGCGGCGUGCUUAACACAUGCAAGUCGAACGGAAAGGCCCUGCUUGCAGGGUGCUCGAGUGGCGAACGGGUGAGUAACACGUGGGUGAUCUGCCCCUUACUUUGGGAUAAGCCUGGGAAACUGGGUCUAAUACUGGAUAGGACCAUGCUGUAGGUGGUGUGGUGGAAAGAUUAGUUUCGGUAAGGGAUGAGCUCGCGGCCUAUCAGCUUGUUGGUGGGGUAAUGGCCUACCAAGGCGUCGACGGGUAGCCGGCCUGAGAGGGUGGACGGCGACAUUAGGACUGAGAUACGGCCCAGACGCCUACGGGAGGCAGCAGUGGGGAGUAUUGCACAAUGGGGGGAAGCCUGAUGCAGCGACGCCGCGUGGGGGAUGACGGCCUUCGGGUUGUAAACUCCUUUCAGCCAUGACGAAGCCCUUGUGGUGACGGUAGUGGUAGAAGAAGCACCGGCUAACUACGUG
RNAcentral lists this ribosomal RNA (469 nucleotides) under uncultured bacterium. Its description in RNAcentral is "partial 16S ribosomal RNA". It matches the Rfam family "Bacterial small subunit ribosomal RNA", at positions 28 to 507 of the family's 1533-position model. The record is from RNAcentral.